UCCCGGGUGGCUCAGCUGGUAAAGAAUCUGCCUGCAAUGUAGGAGGCCUGGGUUCAAUCCCUGGGUUGGGAA
This is a non-coding RNA of Bos taurus (domestic cattle), 72 nucleotides long. NCBI's taxonomy places the organism in Eukaryota, Metazoa, Chordata, Mammalia, Artiodactyla, Bovidae. The record is from Rfam.